GACAGCAUGGUGUAGUGGUUUGCAUACAAGACUAACACUCUGGAGACUAGGAUUUGAAUCCCCAUUCAGCCA
Phrynosoma platyrhinos (Desert horned lizard) is the source of this 72-nucleotide non-coding RNA. Lineage: Eukaryota; Metazoa; Chordata; Lepidosauria; Squamata; Phrynosomatidae. The record is from the annotation of a GenBank genome assembly.